AACGCACGAGACCUGCGGACCUGCGGAGGGAUCAUUACAGGAUUCGCCGUCCGUGGACUCUCGCGAGACCCGGUGGCAACAACCAGGCGCGAGUGCGCACUGCUCGGCCUUCCUGGGAGUCCCAGGAGGGUUCGGGCGGUCGCGUACUCGCGCCACCCUUUUUUCAUCAAACCCGUGAAGGCGAGGGAAAACGGACGUCGUCGGCACCUCGGAGUAACAUCCGGCGGGGCCACGCGACCG
RNAcentral lists this unclassified non-coding RNA (240 nucleotides) under soil metagenome. RNAcentral's name for it is "partial contains 5.8S ribosomal RNA, internal transcribed spacer 2, and large subunit ribosomal RNA". The record is from RNAcentral.